GACGAACGCUGGCGGCGUGCUUAACACAUGCAAGUCGAACGCUGAAGCUUGGUGCUUGCACUGGGUGGAUGAGUGGCGAACGGGUGAGUAAUACGUGAGUAACCUGCCCUUGACUCUGGGAUAAGCCUGGGAAACUGGGUCUAAUACUGGAUACGACAUGUCACCGCAUGGUGGUGUGUGGAAAGGGUUUUACUGGUUUUGGAUGGGCUCACGGCCUAUCAGCUUGUUGGUGGGGUAAUGGCUCACCAAGGCGACGACGGGUAGCCGGCCUGAGAGGGUGACCGGCCACACUGGGACUGAGACACGGCCCAGACUCCUACGGGAGGCAGCAGUGGGGAAUAUUGCACAAUGGACGGAAGCCUGAUGCAGCGACGCCGCGUGAGGGAUGACGGCCUUCGGGUUGUAAACCUCUUUCAGCACGGAAGAAGCGAAAGUGACGGUACGUGCAGAAGAAGCGCCGGCUAACUACGUG
This 472-nucleotide ribosomal RNA is filed under the name uncultured bacterium. RNAcentral's name for it is "partial 16S ribosomal RNA". It matches the Rfam family "Bacterial small subunit ribosomal RNA", at positions 28 to 507 of the family's 1533-position model. The record is from RNAcentral.